GUCAGCAUGGCGUAGUGGUUUGAGUGUUGAACUACGACUCUGGAGACCAGGGUUCGAAUCCUGGCUUGGUCA
RNAcentral lists this transfer RNA (72 nucleotides) under Phrynosoma platyrhinos (Desert horned lizard). RNAcentral describes it as "tRNA-OTHER". Lineage: Eukaryota; Metazoa; Chordata; Lepidosauria; Squamata; Phrynosomatidae. The record is from RNAcentral.